Mauremys reevesii (Reeves's turtle) is the source of this 3490-nucleotide long non-coding RNA. RefSeq lists it as uncharacterized. The transcript is spliced from 8 exons. Lineage: Eukaryota; Metazoa; Chordata; Testudines; Geoemydidae. The record is from RefSeq and is a predicted model, not a curated record.
CAGAGCUGUGUUAAUGUCCUGCCCUGCCUGACUCAUCCCUUCCUCCGUGCACUAGCAUUUCCGUUGGUCUUAGGAAACACGAACAGACAGAUGCUGGAGCACCAGGAAGUAAGCAUAACAUGGAGAAGAACACAACUCACUUACCUCUGGUCCAGGCAGGCCCUGGAACCCUGAAGCACCCUUGACACCCAUCAUCCCCUAGGAAACAAGCCAAUGUAUUGAGGAGAGGAUUAGGAGCAGAAACGUCAGGCACAGGGCCACCUAAUCUGCCUCUUUAAAGAGUCAAACCCAAGACAAGAGAGUCCCACCUCAAGGCACUCAGAACACUGGGACACUAUUUACCGAAGUGCCGUGGCCAUUCAACAAGGGUUUCUUCCCCGGGGGGAGAGUCUCCAAGCAUUAAGGAGCUUCACCACACACCUCCCCAUCCCCAAAAGGCCAGUAGCAGCAGCAGCAGCAUUUUGACAGAUGGGUAAACUGAGGUAGAGAGCGAUUGAGUGACUUGCCCAAAACUAAAUGAAUCAAUGUCAGAGCCAGGAAUAGAACCUGUAUCGCUCUACUCCCCAUCAUGUGCUUUAAUCACUAUAGAUCACCCAUCCUCAUCCAAUGACAAAAGGUAUCCAAGUUAGGUCCCAUCCCAGCUAUGGGACAGUGUCUGCUCAGGAGAGCAAAGGGGCCGAAUGGAAUUGGAGGGAUGCUGCAGGACAGAAUCAAGAGGCACUGGAGGCUCAGUAUUAGACCCGUGAGAUGCUUGGCUCUUUUUGCCGCCUUUGGAGUGGGAGACCCUUGUUUCACUUCACACGGGUUCAAGUCUCCCUGAGUUCUGCUUUGAGUUUGGGGUUCAAGCAACCCCCGACCUCAAAGCAAAGGCGACUACUGGGCAAGUGGAAAGAGAGGUGAGAGAGGAACCCUGGGAGGUGGUCAGAGGACAAGAGGAGCUGGUUUCUUUGCCAACUUACCUGAGCGCCAGCAGAUCCUGAAGGGCCAUUUCGUCCUUUCACCCCCUGAAACAGCAAAAAGCACAGACAGUGACUGAAUAGCACAGAGGAGCUCAGGAAACCGUACCCUGUGCAGCAGAAAGCAGUGCUGGAGGGGAGGGGACGCCUCAUGCCUGCUGGGAUCCUGAACCGGGCCAGAGCACAGACUGAUCAGCACCUCCUUUUGCAGGGCUGACAAUGGGUCUGCUGAGUCACUGUGCCGCCAAAUGGAUUUCCAUUCUGUACCCCCCAAAGCCAGGCCUGGGGGGAGACACUGCCCUGACUGCACUCCAACCCGAGCCAGGGGGUCUUUUCCCUUCUCUGAUGUAGGCUCUUUGUUGUGAAGGGGAACUACAGUCCAACCUACCCCCUCCCCCUCCUAAAACACAAGAGAGAUGCGGAACAAUGGGAAAGGUUGGCCCCUUCUUUAGGAAGGAGAAAGCAACGAAGAACGGAAGGAACCUGUACCAGGGCUGCAAGCUAAUUCAGCACACAGGGGCUGCACAGACGUGAAGGUGCAGAGAGGGAUCAGAUUUAUUUUCUGAGUGACGAUGAGACUUGAGCAGAAUUGGCUUCAUGUCAGUGAGAGGGGAGCAAAAGUCAGUAUCCCUGCGACAUGGCAGAAUGCCUGGAGGCCAUGGGGGAUGCUGGAAGGCUUACUGCUGGAAGCCAGCACUUCACAUUAAAGUGACUCAAAAACACAGCAGCCAGCAAUGUCUUUUGCAUGGAUCUCAUACCCACUGGGUCCCCGUGCCCAGGCUCAGAACAAGUGAACUCACCUUUGUCCCCUUUUCUCCUUUUUCCCCAGGUGGUCCGGGGUCACCCAAGAACCCCUGAAACAGCUGGACCUUGGUCACCCUUAAAUCCCUGAGGGCCCUGGUAACGAGGAGGAAGGAAUGGAAGACACAAAAGACCAGUUUAUGCUCGUGAAACCUGAACUGACACAGCUUGUGUGGCAGAAUGAGGCAGCAGUUCUCAAACCGCGGUGGUGAUACUCACUGGGCCAAAUUCAAGCCUGUGGCCCAAGAGAUACCAUCUUUGCCUGCAUGCCUCACUAAAACAGAGAGACUGCAUCUGGGGAUUAACGGCGGGAAUUGAGAAAGACCAUCUACAGCUUCUCCAGUGGUACACAAGACUCUGAGCAUUUCCAGGUUGUGCUGGGGGUGGGAGUGUUCCCUGCAGAGCUCCAUGCUGCUCUGAGACACAAGCCAUGAAGCACUAGCUACAUCAGCAACUGGAACAUAGUGACCUUGGAGAAAUCAGGACAAAUAUAUCACCCAAAAAAUAACACUAAAACUCAUUGAAAGGCCUGUUACUCCUCCAUGGAGCUCUUUGUGGAAUCCAGCUAGAAACCAAGGGAAAAAACUGCCAAUGACCUAAAUUUGCAUGUAUCAAGCUGAGAAUAUCUCUCCCCCUCUCCUCCUAGACAUACAGGCCAGAGGAGACAUCUCACUCGGAAAGCAGAAGCAAGAGGAACGGACAGCUGAUUCCUCUGAAAGUGGGGGCGGGGAGGGAGAGGAGAAAAAUGAAUGAAAGGGAGCAGCAUGGCGAAGGGAAGCAAAAGGAAACUGCGGGUAGAUCAGAUGUUAUCACUGGGAACAUUGUGGGAUGAGGAAAGCUUGGGAGAGCAGAAUUAAAGAGGCAUCGUUACCAGACUGGUGAUGCACUGCCAGAAAACAGUAUAACAGGGAGGUCAGGGAAAAUCUACUCUCUCUUAUAACUGUGAAGGCUGUACCUGCAGCAGUUAAAGACAAAAGAGGCUUCUUGGGGGAGAUGGGUGAGAACCAGGAACUGAAGAGGACAGUCACUGGGAAGAAAGAAGAGAACAAUCACUGAAAGAAGUGGACAGUCACUGGGAAACGGUCGAGUGUUUGGUGCUGGAGAACCCACCACAUCCCUAAGUAGACUUAACAGGAGACACUCACCGGCCAGCCUGCGUGGAGAAGCUGGUCAGCUGCUUUCUCUGCAGGUGUCAGAGCAGAUCUGGGGCUUCAGAAGGGAUUUGGAUGCGGAGAGAGGAGGCCUCGUGAAUGAGCUCUGGAAGGCCAUUCUGCUCCUAGUGGGCCGCACGGUGAGGAGCUACUCAAACAGAAUGAAACAGCAGAACAGAGGACAACACCAAAGAGGUCUGACAUGCUGCCUGUCUCUGAGCAUACAGAGCCAUCACUAACCAAAAGGGAAGGCAGAAUACCACACAGAAUGCAGAUGGAACCUAUGCUAACGUGGUGUCAGCUCCAUCAUCUUCUGUCUCUGGUGGAAAUCUUCAUCCAGAUGCUCUCAUCUCCCCAUUCCUCUUGGCUUCUAGUUCUCCACACUUUCCCAGAGGAAGCCUCAGGUUCAGAGUCCAUGGACACAGGAGUCCUGUGAGAGACUUGUCAACAAAAGGCCCUUGAACCUCACCGUGGCAGCAAUCAGCCACCCAUUCCUGCCAGGAGUCACACAGCCCUAGCUCAUCUUGAAACAAUUUAAGUGCAAUUAGAUAUGACCGCAACCGCUUCUGAUCAGUGGAAAGA